Molecule: non-coding RNA, 737 nt
Organism: Paramuricea clavata
Lineage: Eukaryota; Metazoa; Cnidaria; Anthozoa; Malacalcyonacea; Plexauridae
Source: the annotation of a GenBank genome assembly
AGAAAUUCUGCCCGAUAAUCGAAAGGCGAUGCCUGUGGAGGAGGCUAGAUCUCUUCAAACUCCCAUGUAUUAUGAUCUCUUUAAACUCCCAUGUAUUAUGAUCUCUUCAAACUUCCAUGUAUUAUAAUCUCUUCAAACUCCCAUGUAUUAUGAUCUCUUCAAACUCCCAUGUAUUUUGAUCUCUUCAAACUCCCAUGUAUUAUGAUCUCUUUAAACUCCCAUGUAUUAUGAUCUCUUCAAACUCCCAUGUAUUAUGAUCUCUUCAAACUCCCAUGUAUUUUGAUCUCUUCAAAUUCCCAUGUAUUAUGAUCUCUUCAAACUCCCAUGUAUUAUGAUCUCUUCAAACUCCCAUGUAUUAUGAUCUCUUCAAACUUCCAUGUAUUAUAAUCUCUUCAAACUCCCAUGUAUUAUGAUCUCUUCAAACUCCCAUGUAUUUUGAUCUCUUCAAACUCCCAUGUAUUAUGAUCUCUUUAAACUCCCAUGUAUUAUGAUCUCUUCAAACUUCCAUGUAUUAUGAUCUCUUCAAACUCCCAUGUAUUAUAAUCUCUUCAAACUCCCAUGUAUUAUGAUCUCUUCAAACUUCCAUGUGUUAUGAUCUCUUCAAACUCCCAUGUAUUAUCUCUUCAAACUCCCAUGUAUUAUGAUCUCUUCAAACUCCCAUGUAUUAUGAUCUCUUCAAACUCCCAUGUAUUUUGAUCUCUUCAAACUCCCAUGUAUUAUGAUCUCUUCAAACUCCC